Molecule: non-coding RNA, 148 nt
Filed under: Gorilla gorilla gorilla (western lowland gorilla)
Lineage: Eukaryota; Metazoa; Chordata; Mammalia; Primates; Hominidae
Source: Rfam by way of RNAcentral
GCCGGGUGUGGUGGUGCACACCUGUAAUCCCAGCUACUCAGGAGGCUGAGGCAGGAGAAUUGCUUGAACCCGGGAGGCAGAGGUUGCAGUGAGCCGAGAUCACACCACUGCACUCCAGCCUGGGCAACAGAGCGAGACUCCGUCUCAA